RNAcentral lists this non-coding RNA (167 nucleotides) under bovine gut metagenome. RNAcentral describes it as "Lysine riboswitch". It matches the Rfam family "Lysine riboswitch aptamer". From Rfam's summary of the family: Riboswitches are metabolite binding domains within certain messenger RNAs that serve as precision sensors for their corresponding targets. Allosteric rearrangement of mRNA structure is mediated by ligand binding, and this results in modulation of gene expression. The record is from RNAcentral.
GAUAGAGGCGCGGUUAUCAAGAGUAGCUCACGGAGAAGCACCGGGAAGUGCGGGAGCGAAAGGGGUCGCCGCCGAAGGGUAUCCGUUUCCCGAACGGAUAUGCCUGGGCCGUCGGAGAAGAUCCGCCGGACUGUCGCAAGGGCUUUGCCCACGCGGAGAGCUGUCUG